AACGAACGCUGGCGGCAUGCCUAACACAUGCAAGUCGAACGAGACCUUCGGGUCUAGUGGCGCACGGGUGCGUAACGCGUGGGAAUCUACCCUUGGGUUCGGAAUAACUCAGAGAAAUUUGAGCUAAUACCGGAUGAUGUCGAAAGACCAAAGAUUUAUCGCCCAAGGAUGAGCCCGCGUAGGAUUAGCUAGUUGGUGAGGUAAAGGCUCACCAAGGCAACGAUCCUUAGCUGGUCUGAGAGGAUGAUCAGCCACACUGGGACUGAGACACGGCCCAGACUCCUACGGGAGGCAGCAGUGGGGAAUAUUGGACAAUGGGCGAAAGCCUGAUCCAGCAAUGCCGCGUGAGUGAUGAAGGCCUUAGGGUUGUAAAGCUCUUUUACCCGGGAUGAUAAUGACAGUACCGGAGAAUAAGCCCCGGCUAACUCCGUG
RNAcentral lists this ribosomal RNA (432 nucleotides) under uncultured bacterium. RNAcentral describes it as "bacterial SSU rRNA". It matches the Rfam family "Bacterial small subunit ribosomal RNA", at positions 29 to 507 of the family's 1533-position model. The record is from RNAcentral.